Molecule: small nucleolar RNA, 101 nt
Filed under: Phascolarctos cinereus (koala)
Lineage: Eukaryota; Metazoa; Chordata; Mammalia; Diprotodontia; Phascolarctidae
Description: Small nucleolar RNA SNORD16 (ENSPCIG00000006801.2)
Rfam family: Small nucleolar RNA SNORD16
About the family: U16 is a member of the C/D class of snoRNA which contain the C (UGAUGA) and D (CUGA) box motifs. U81 acts as a guanine methylation guide and is found in an intron of ribosomal proteins L1 gene in animals.
Source: Rfam by way of RNAcentral
UGCUAUGAUGAUGUAAUUUGCGUCUUACACAGCGUUCAGUGACAGUUGCCUGUUGUCAGAAAGCUGACGCUUUAUGGUUGAUAACUACUUGUAACUGAGCA